GCCUAAGAGCAACAUUAUUUUGAAUUCAAUUGCAAUAAUGACAUGUAAACAAAGUUGUACAACAUUCACACUUAACAUUCCCAAGCUAACUUAUACAUAAUUGUAUGAAAUUUAAACCUCAAUUAAACCCUUCUUUAAUAAAAUAGUAGCAAAAAUCCCACGAGAUUAACAUGUAACUACCUUGAAUCUAAAAAUCACAUCAACUUUCAGCAGAAUCAGACGAAAACCAGAAGCAAUUCACCUUAUACCACAUCAACAACAUGAGAAGGCUAAUAGAAUACACAUAAGAUUAAACUAUUACAAAAUAUGAAAGAAAUGGAAGAACAAGGAAGUAAGAUUCAAUAAAACAACUUGUAUUCAUCAUGUUUCCACAUUCGAAUUGCAUGUUUACACUUCAUAUGCUAUCCAUAGCUCAAAAUACCUGGAAGUCAAGAGAAAACAAUGAGAGUGAGGAAUUAGCAAUAGCAGUAGAUCAACUCAAUAACUCAGCAAACCCAGCUUCUUUCAAACCAAUUUAAAACCCAGAUGAGCACAGUUCUUUGGAGAUUUUUAAAAUUCUAACUAACAAAGGAAAUCAAAGUGCAAAAACCCAAGGAAGUUUCACGCAAUUUUUAAAUAUUUUCAGAUUCUAAAAGCUCAACCGUUUCUAAGUUUUUCAGUCUUGUAAUCUUUGCUCAUUUUUAUUGAAAGCAAGCUUAUAUAGAAGGUCCUAGAGCAGCAGAAUUGGUUUUAAGUUUUACCAAUUUCUCCUUCCCUGAUUUUUCAUUCUUUCAUUUUAAACCCCAAAAUUAGAGUCUGCUUGCUAAAACAAACCCAACCCCACCUUCCUAGAAAUUUUUCCAAGCGGUUAAGAAAGAUUCUCCUUGCCCAAUUUCCUAAACUACCCUUUAACCCUCUAUUAUUUACCCUCAUAACCUAAACCAAUGCAGGUCACCUACUACUCAUAUCUGGGCCCAAGUGGGUGGGCUUCCAAUGCCUAGGUUUGCCUUACCAUAAACCCAAAAAAGGGUCUCAAAUUCAGUAAAGCAAGAACAGAUCAAACAAAACAAAAAAGGCAUCAAAUUAACCAUAACAUGGACUCAACCCAUUAGAACCUAAAAAUGGUGAACUCACAUCACUGAAUAAUUCAAACUAUGACUUGCUAAAAAGGGAAAGAGAAAAGAAGAAAGGGAGCCUGAUAAUACAGUAAAGAAAUGGGCGUAUUGGUGCCGUUUAAUCAACUUAACAAAACUUCAAAUUAAACAAAGAAUACAAGAAGAAAUUAACCUACUAAUUUGAACAGACCAUAGCAGAAUCAGGAAGAAAAUAAAGUUAAAGAAGAAAUGGACAUACAAUCAAUAGGAUAAAACAUGUACUGUUUUACCAGAAACACAUGAGUGAGCAUUGCUUGAUAAAUUUGCCAGUCUUUGGUCUUGCAUGGGGCUGGUGGGUUUCGAAACGAGUAGAAAUCUAUGCUAAUUGCUCAUCCUCAAGGAGAAUAGUUGACUGGCAUAGGUUUCGACCCAUUAUCGACCGAGAAAACGGCAUGAUCUCUGACAAGGGGAGUAAGAUUAGGGUUCAGGUUUUGGCGUCAGAUUUGGGAUUUGAAGGCAAGGGUAGGGAUUUUUGGGGUAUUCGUGUUAGAUUCAUGUUCCAUGGGGUGUGUGGAUUGUAGAUGAACAAUUUGGGGUUGAUUUGGGUGGUCUGCCGCCGGUAGAAAUGGUGGAGGAAUUUAGGGCGGCGGGUCUAGGGUUUACAGAGAGAAAAUGGGUGAGGAAAUGAAGUGAAGACCUUAGGUUAUUCGGACAAUUUUAUUUAAAAUGGGGGAAGUGUUCACGGCCGUUGGAUUAGAUGAAACGAAAGGCCAGGAUUGACUUAAAGCCCUUGAACUCAAAACGACGUAGUUUUGUUCCUAUACUACGUCGUUUCAAGGGCCUCGGGGCUGAAGGCUUGGACCGGGUGUGGGACUGUGUUUUGUUCUCUUUUCCCUUUUUUUAAUUUUCAAUUUUCAAUUUUCCUUUUCCUUUCAAAUUAAUUUAAAACCUAAAUUAACUCUUAAACCAAAUUAAUUUACCAAAUUAAGCUAAUUACUCAUCAUAUUAUUUACAAAAAUUAGUUAACUCCUAAAUUAAAAGAAAAACUAUAAAAUUUAAAAUUAAAAAGUUAAAGAAUGCAAAGUGAGUUAUUUUUUUUGUGAUUUUUCAUUUUUAUAAAAUAACUAAUUUACUAAUUAACCUAAAAAUGUAAAAUUAAAUCCUAAAUGCAAAUGUAGAGUAUUUUUGUAUUUUCAUGAUUUAACUAAAAAUUAAACAUGCAUAGAAAAAUGCAAAUAAUUAAGAAAAUUCUACAAAAAUUCCUAAAAUGGCAAAUAAUUAAAAGAAAAAAUCUAUUUCCUUGGGACUCUGUAGGAGUGUUUCAUGUAGGUAAAAAAUCACAUGCUCACAUUAUUAAUAACAAAAUCAAACAAAUUAUACCUGAAAUCUAGCAAAUAGAUAAGAAGAUGAAAAGAGUAUUGUUGAAAGCUUGAAGAAGGAGAACUGAAGUACUCCUCCGAUCGACUGGAAUAGAAGAGAAGGAAGUCGGACGAGAAAAUGUUUCUAGACCCAUAUCAUGUAAAAUGAAUAGAUGGAAGGCCCUUUUUCCUUUGAGCGAAAUGAUAAUUUUGCCCUUGAUCGAUCAUCU
RNAcentral lists this long non-coding RNA (2661 nucleotides) under Nicotiana tabacum (common tobacco). RNAcentral's name for it is "long non-coding RNA (NTAB_LNC003530)". The record is from RNAcentral. Lineage: Eukaryota; Viridiplantae; Streptophyta; Magnoliopsida; Solanales; Solanaceae.